Callithrix jacchus (white-tufted-ear marmoset) is the source of this 308-nucleotide long non-coding RNA. RefSeq lists it as uncharacterized. Lineage: Eukaryota; Metazoa; Chordata; Mammalia; Primates; Cebidae. The record is from RefSeq and is a predicted model, not a curated record.
UUUCUGCCUGGUUUUAGAGGCCCGGAGUCCCAAAUUACCUGGCGAAGCUCUUUCAUUAUUUUUUCCUGAGCUGUGUGACUAGGCCAGACGGGACAAACUGCCUACAAUCUAUACAUAUAUAAUUGAGAAGACAGUUAUGAACCCAACCUCCAACUGAGUGAACAAGGGGAUGCUCAGACAGAGAGGCAAGGACCUUGGUCUGCUCCCUCCAUGUAAGAGCUGAUCUGGCUUCCCUAUGGUCACUGAAGGGGUUCCAUCUACCUGCUGUGCCACCUCAGGCUUGGGCCCGAGUUCCAGCAGGCGCCGAG